Molecule: ribosomal RNA, 253 nt
Filed under: uncultured bacterium
Lineage: Bacteria
Description: partial 16S ribosomal RNA
Rfam family: Bacterial small subunit ribosomal RNA
Source: RNAcentral
UACAUGGGGUGCAAACGUUGCUCGGAAUUAUUGGGCGUAAAGCGCGCGUAGGCGGUUACUUAAGUUGGAUGUGAAAGCCCUCGGCUUAACUGAGGAAGUGCAUCCAAAACUGAGUAGCUAGAGUACGAAAGAGGGUCGCGGAAUUCCCGGUGUAGAGGUGAAAUUCGUAGAUAUCGGGAGGAACACCGGUGGCGAAGGCGGCGACCUGGGUCGAGACUGACGCUGAGGCGCGAAAGCGUGGGGAGCAAACAGG